UCCAUUUAAGACCACUCCCAUACCAGGAAGGAGGGGGGAGGGACCCCUGGGGCAUACUGGGGAAUGCAGUUCCCUUGGCCACAAUAUUUUAAAACCCACACUUGAUCUAGCUUGAUCUCUUUAGGGAGUUCUUUGUAGGAACUGGGAGAGAGGGUUACAGCUGGCAGUGUGCACUGAUACUCCUAUUCAAAGUUCACAUCACUUGGACUUUGAGUGUUUUGGGACUACCAGGUAGAAGCUCAGUAGGAGAGACUGUGGGAGAUUGCCUUGGAAUGUCUUUUCUGCUUGAUUCACUGGGGAUAGUCACUAUGAAGGAGAGCAUAAGGACCCAGCAGAGAAGGGCUCCCAUUCUUCCAGUUCUUGAAUAACAACACCUGCAGCUCUUGUAGACAUGGGACUUCAAGCUGUGCACAUUGUCCAAUAAGUUUGUGGAUGGUACUGAAUUAAUCUACUAAUAUGACAUGUUCAGAAAAAUAGCAUACACCCCUGGGUUUUCAGGCCCUUGCCAAAAUUAUAUGGAAAAAAAAAAUUAAAAGUUAUCUCUUCUCAUUUAGUAUGAAUGAGCCUGAAAAAAAAAUUCAUUUUCUUUGGAAAAUAAACUAAUGUUCUUACCUACAAACUAUCAUGGCAGAUUGACUUAAUAGAAGUUCUGUUGUUAAUGAUGCUUAGCCUGUAUUCAAAUCAUUUAUCUGCCAGUUACUAUUUGUGUAAUUUUGGGUAA
Molecule: long non-coding RNA, 721 nt
Organism: Monodelphis domestica (gray short-tailed opossum)
Lineage: Eukaryota; Metazoa; Chordata; Mammalia; Didelphimorphia; Didelphidae
Source: RefSeq, a predicted model, not a curated record